AUUGUGUGGUGCGAGAUCCUUGACUUUUACUUUGAGGAAAUAAGAGUGUUCCAAGCAGGCUCUCGUCCCGCAUAGCUCAGCAUGGAAUAAUAGCAUUGGACUUCGUUUUUACGCUGUUGGUUGCAAGAAGCGAGGUAAUGAUGAAGAGGGAUAGUUGGGGGCAUUCGUAUUUAACUGUCAGAGGUGAAAUUCUUGGAUUUGUUAAAGACGGACU
RNAcentral lists this ribosomal RNA (214 nucleotides) under uncultured Syndiniales. RNAcentral's name for it is "partial 18S ribosomal RNA". It matches the Rfam family "Eukaryotic small subunit ribosomal RNA", at positions 741 to 941 of the family's 1831-position model. The record is from RNAcentral. Lineage: Eukaryota; Dinophyceae; Syndiniales.